GAUGAACGCUGGCGGCGUGCCUAAUACAUGCAAGUCGAGCGAACAGACGAGGAGCUUGCUCCUCUGACGUUAGCGGCGGACGGGUGAGUAACACGUGGAUAACCUACCUAUAAGACUGGGAUAACUUCGGGAAACCGGAGCUAAUACCGGAUAAUAUAUUGAACCGCAUGGUUCAAUAGUGAAAGACGGUUUUGCUGUCACUUAUAGAUGGAUCCGCGCCGGAUUAGCUAGUUGAUAAGGUAACGGCUUACCAAGGCAACGAUGCGUAGCCGACCUGAGAGGGUGAUCGGCCACACUGGAACUGAGACACGGUCCAGACUCCUACGGGAGGCAGCAGUAGGGAAUCUUCCGCAAUGGGCGAAAGCUUGACGGAGCAACGCCGCGUGAGUGAUGAAGGUCUUCGGAUCGUAAAGCUCUGUUAUUAGGGAAGAACAAAUGUGUAAGUAACUAUGCACGUCUUGACGGUACCUAAUCAGAAAGCCACGGCUAACUACGUG
This 497-nucleotide ribosomal RNA is filed under the name uncultured bacterium. RNAcentral's name for it is "partial 16S ribosomal RNA". It matches the Rfam family "Bacterial small subunit ribosomal RNA", at positions 28 to 507 of the family's 1533-position model. The record is from RNAcentral.